Molecule: small RNA, 797 nt
Filed under: Vigna angularis var. angularis
Lineage: Eukaryota; Viridiplantae; Streptophyta; Magnoliopsida; Fabales; Fabaceae
Description: Non-protein coding transcript
Source: RNAcentral
UUUCGUUCUACAUCUAAUGUAAUCUUCCCCCAAACCCUAAUUCCCUCCCUCUCCGCGCCUAACAUCUUCUACAUCUAACUUUGUCAUUUUUCCUCAAACCCCUUCCCCGCACCAUUUAAAGUUCUUUGAGAUUACUGCAUUCGAGCAAGGGAACGAGGCAUCGAAGAUACAUUUGUGGGCUGAGCAAGGUGUCGAGGCGUCUUAUUUUUCGUUGAAGGUCCCUACUGGUCCAAUGGACGCGUCGAGGAAUCUUAUUAUUCGUUGAGGUGUCUUAUUGUUCGUCUCGUCGAAGGUGUGGCUCAUGAGUCUGUUGGAGUAAAACCAGCGACCUUGGUUCCAAAAGAAAUCUUAUCCCUUCCAUUGUUUAUCCCUUCGCGGUGGAGCUCCUCCUUUAACAUGCCCAACCAGAACUAGGGUUUCGAUUCGAAACACCAGCCAAAGCCUAAACCUUUCUCUCUUUUCCUUUUUUUCUCUCGUUCAAUUAGCUUCUCGCAUUUAUUCUAUGUUCCUUUAUGGGGGAUUCGCAUUUUCUGAGUUUUGAAUACAUGUGCCUUCAAGAACAGUUCUUGGAGGAAUUAAAGCUUCAUUGGUGAUCACACAACAAGAUUUCAUUCAAGACUAUUUGGACUUCACAUAUUCUGAUUCUUUUGCACUUUGGGAGUGUGAUUUGAUUAGGUCCUUUAGCAAUUCGUGUAAUUGGAAGAUAGUCAAGAUUGAGAGCUAGUAUUUGCUCUUGUAUGUUGUAAGAGAUUGAGUGAUUUAUCUCUUGUGUUUGUUAUUUCUAAUUUGAGUGGUGU